AGGAAAAGAAACUAACAAGGAUUCCCCUAGUAACGGCGAGUGAAGCGNGAAGAGCUCAAAUUUAAAAUCUGGCAGUCUACGAUUGUCCGAAUUGUAAUCUCGAGAAGUGUUUUCCGCGUUGGCCUGUGCACAAGUCCCUUGGAACAGGGCGUCAUAGAGGGUGAGAAUCCCGUCCUUGGCACAGAUACCCAAUGCUUUGUGAUACACUCUCAAUGAGUCGAGUUGUUUGGGAAUGCAGCUCAAAAUGGGAGGUAAAUUCCUUCUAAAGCUAAAUACUGGCGAGAGACCGAUAGCGAACAAGUACCGUGAGGGAAAGAUGAAAAGCACUUUGGAAAGAGAGUCAAACAGUACGUGAAAUUGUUGAAAGGGAACG
This 373-nucleotide ribosomal RNA is filed under the name Taphrina pruni. RNAcentral's name for it is "eukaryotic LSU rRNA". It matches the Rfam family "Eukaryotic large subunit ribosomal RNA", at positions 54 to 420 of the family's 3401-position model. Lineage: Eukaryota; Fungi; Ascomycota; Taphrinomycetes; Taphrinales; Taphrinaceae. The record is from RNAcentral.